RNAcentral lists this ribosomal RNA (301 nucleotides) under uncultured bacterium. Its description in RNAcentral is "partial 16S ribosomal RNA". It matches the Rfam family "Bacterial small subunit ribosomal RNA", at positions 509 to 809 of the family's 1533-position model. The record is from RNAcentral.
CAGCCGCCGCGGUAAUACGGAGGGGGCUAGCGUUGUUCGGAAUUACUGGGCGUAAAGCGCACGUAGGCGGCUUGGUAAGUUAGAGGUGAAAGCCCGGAGCUCAACUCCGGAAUUGCCUUUAAGACUGCCGAGCUAGUAGGUGAGAGAGGUAAGUGGAAUUCCGAAUGUAGAGGUGAAAUUCGUAGAUAUUCGGAAGAACACCAGUGGCGAAGGCGGCUUACUGGCUCAUUCUAGACGCUGAGGUGCGAAAGCGUGGGGAGCAAACAGGAUUAGAUACCCCCGUAGUCCCUGUCUCUUAUAU